ACUGAAAAAAGGCAAACUUGUUGAAAGGCAAGGACGCAAAGCCGUGGACCUAAAGGAUCUCUUGAUUUAUGGUAGCCAGGCUGCCAGG
Molecule: non-coding RNA, 88 nt
Filed under: Litchfieldia salsa
Lineage: Bacteria; Bacillati; Bacillota; Bacilli; Caryophanales; Bacillaceae
Description: Bacillus sp. A24(2010) c-di-GMP-I riboswitch aptamer
Rfam family: c-di-GMP-I riboswitch aptamer
About the family: GEMM was predicted in a large-scale screen for bacterial structured RNA regulatory elements. Genes associated with GEMM are involved in a diverse array of functions, including chemotaxis regulation, signal transduction, secretion and chitin.
Source: Rfam by way of RNAcentral